UGAACCGCUCCCCUCCUCAAGGAGACUUGAUUAAUGUUGGGUCCCCUAAAAGAGGUGUACAGAAGGGGGGGAAAAGCAUACCUUUUGACAAGGCCACAAGCACUGUCAUGAUCGUGUGCAGGAUUGGACAAAACAUGAUGGCAGACGGCAUUUCUUAAACAAAGAUCCAGUCAGGAGCGGACUUCCUUAAGCUUAAAAGUUGCAAGUGAAUGAAGUGUGUUCUAUUUUAUGUCUCCUACUAAAACCAUGGAUUUGACAAACCUAAAAGAGCACGUGGAGCAAGGAACUAUCAGUAAGCCGGAAGAGCCAGCUCGAAAAUCUUUAAGUGUUUGAGAAUUUCACCGCGCACACGAAUCUAAAGUUCUGCCACACGUUAGAAGGAGCCUUGUUCUCGAAGAUCAACGUGUUGAAAAGUCUUCAUUUUGCAGAAGCAAAUACAUUUAUAUUGUAUAUACACAUGUAAACCAUGUUCGAUUCCCAACCACUUAACGUUUGUGAUAUCUGCAUGGAAUUAUUAAAACUGAGCAUGGAUAGACGUAUACUCAUCUCUUCAGGCAUGAUGGUUUACAUUUCACAAAGCUGUUCAAUGACAAUAAAGACUAUAAGAUGU
Molecule: long non-coding RNA, 610 nt
Organism: Ostrea edulis (European flat oyster)
Lineage: Eukaryota; Metazoa; Mollusca; Bivalvia; Ostreida; Ostreidae
Exons: 2
Source: RefSeq, a predicted model, not a curated record